UACAUUUCUGUAGCAAAAGACAAAGAUAAAAACAGAGGCAGUGAUGGAAGAGCAAUCAUGAAAAAAAUGAACCUAAAAGUCUCAAUUCCAUGGAGCUGGACAUGAGGCUGAAACUAGAUCAAGAAUCUGCAGACAUGCUAGCAGCUUUGUCAUUAGAAACCUAGAAAUGUGUCAACAGCACACUCACAAUGUCAACAAAACUAUUUUCACAGGCCGAUAGUUUUCAGCUUUCUGCACGGUAGUUUUAGAAUAUUGGGUCGUAAAAUCUGUCCAUCACCGUGAAAAGCAAAGCAGAGCUGGGACUGAUGGGAUUGUACCACCAGGAUCUCUUGAUCUCCAGACUUUCCAUUAAGUUACAUUACUGGAGAAAUGUACAAUAUGAAAAGCAUACAACAUCAAUGUCCAGAUUUAGGUCUUAAUGGCAGCAGGGUCAAUUCAGACCACCGACACUUUCUAGUUUCUCCUAGGGGAUCAGAUGUAGAUACCAGUCCAGAAAAGAUCUGUAAUUCUGCCACUGAAUUCUGGAUUUGACCCCAACGACCCGGGCAAUUUGUUGUUCAGCAGUUAAACAAGCGUUCACCAUCAAACAACAAAAGCAACAAAACAGUAAAACAGUUAAAGGAAUAGCAGCGAUUAAAGGAAAUGUUUUAAAAAUGUAAAAAACACAGUAAAACAAUUACAAGCAAAAUAAAGGCCAUUUAAAGAAAUCAAACAAAACAUAAGACAGACAGGGACAUCGGCAGCAAUCUUGGGCAUUUAGUCAGACGUAGUAAAAGUUUUCAAUAAACGGCCACCGAUGUAAUCAGGUAGAGGACUUUUCUUUGGUCUGCACUGUUUGAGACACCAGAUUACAUUGCCCACAUCAAGAAAAAGAUUCUGUGGAGAGGCUGACAUGAGACAGUUUUUAGUCUCAGCAUGUUUAGCCCUAAAAUCAUGGGAGUCAAACCCGACAUAAAAACUGUUUAGACUUUGAGCCAGCUCUGAAUCACAAUUAUAACCACUGAGCUGAACUCUCUCACUGACACAUUAAUUAGUCCCAGUGAUCAGAUUCAUGCCGUCCCAGACUGAACUGAGGUAGUUCAUUUUGAGCUGAGACUCAAGUUUGUCUUUGUAUUGUCUUUUGUGGGUCCUGAUCUCCUACUUUAUUUCCUUCUGUCGGUGAUACAGAUUUAGUGUAUUUCCUUCUCUGAAGACUGUUUUCUUUCUGUACAGUAGGUCUUUAAGCUUCUUAGAGAGCCAUGGCUUAGUGUUUGAAUACAGUUUUACAGUUUUUUCAGGAAUAACACUGGUUUCACAGUCUGUGACCCAGCUGCUCACAACAUCAGUCGGUUCAUCAAUAUCAGCUGAGGACUCCUUAAACACGUCCCAGUCAGUAACCUCCAGACAUCCCUGCAGAGUGUGACAAACUUUCACUCUGAUGUUCUGCACUUUGCCUUGCUUCAGUACAGUAGUAGACAGGGAUAAGGAGGAUGCAGUUGUGGUCAGAGGAACCCAGAGGAGAAGCACCUUUCACAUUGUUCUGACAGAUCAAAGAUUUUGUCUCAUCUUGUGGGGCAUGUGAUGUACUGAUGGAAGUCUCUCAGUGUGUGUUUUAGUGAGCAGUGGUCUCUGGAUGACCUGAUGGAUAAGCCCACAGGCAUUUAUUUCACUGGCCUUUGGAUGGAUAUAGACAAGAGUCACAUAUCUGGGAAAAUUUCUGAGGCGGAUAUGGAGGGCACAGUGAAACAGAAAGCCGUUCUAAGUCAGUAGUGCACAGUUUCUCCAGGACAGUGUCAGAUUUGCACCAGCGCUGUCCUUGUCCAUUUGGAAGACCCACUUGUGCCCAAGCUUUCAUUUGCUGGCUGAUGUUGCUUCAGUAUUUCCACAUAAUGUUCUAUCCUCUUGAUGCCAUCUAUUUUGUGAAGUGCACCAGUCCCUCCUGCAGCAAAAACACUCCCACAACAUGGUGCUGCCACCCCCAUGCUUCACAGUUGGGAUGGUGUACUCAGGCAAUCCUCAGCCAGCAUCUUCACAAGGUCAUUUGCUUUUGUUCUGGGGUUGAUGAGCACAUUUCCCUCCAAAACAAUCCUAAUUUUAACCAAUCUCCAUCUUGAGCAGGAUGGUUUGACAUUCCCAUGGUGUUGAUCUGUGCAUGCAAUUGUUUGGACAGAUAAACGUCAAACCACAGCAAUCUGGAAAUUGUACCCAAGGAACCACACCUGUGGAGGCCCACAAAUGUCUUCCUGAUGUCUUGGCUGAUUUCUUCAGAUUUUCUAAAGUCACACAAGGAAGCAGUGUGUUUGAGGUGUGCCUGAAAAUACAUCUUAAUCUAUCAAAAGCUUUCGAAGCCAGGACAUCAUCAUCUUGAAGGCAUAGCUAUCUCAGUGUAUGCAAACUUCUGACUGUAGAAUAGAAUAGAAUGACUUUAUUGAUCCCCGAAGGGAAAUUCAAUUGUUUGGUCUUAUCUUUUUGCUUUUGAAAUUAAACAGUCUGAUUGCAAGAAAGAUUUCCUGAAUCUUUCAGUCCUGCAGCACAGGGAUAGGAGCCGUCCACCGACGUUUUGUUGUUCACUGAGGAAAAUGUGAAGUGGAUGAUCCAUGUUUGUCAGAAUGACCUCGAUCUUUCUAAGUGUCCAUCUCUCCACCUCAUCCUCCAAUGUAUUCAAUCCGGUUCCAACUACAGAGCAGCUUUUUUAAUCAGUUUGUUCAGACGCCUUGCAGUCUUGUUCUUUAUACUGCCUCCCCAGCAGACUGCGGCAUAAAACAGGACACUUGCUACCAGAGAUUGAUAAAACAUCUGCAGCAUCUUACUGCAGAUGUCUAUUGAUCGAAGUCUUCUUAGGCAAAAAAAGUCGGCUCUGGCCCUUUUUGUAGAUGAAAUGUGCAUUUUUAGACCAGUCUAACUUAUUGUCAAGGUGGACAUUCAGGCGGAAUUCAAGUUAGUACAUGUUAUUUGUAUGUGUACAUACAAAUUGGUAGGGAUGGGCGAGUACCGAUGCCAGGUAUCGGUAUCGAGCCGAUCCUGGCCUUAUUUCAAAGUAUCAAGUACUUUUGAAGGCUGCCGAUGCCAGCCACCGAUACUCAAGGCAAGAAAAUCCCACGCGUAGUAAACCCUCCUCGCCGGGAGAUGGCGCUACACUGCCGCGGGUUGACUUCUCCAUGUGCGUCACAUCCUGUGCAGAGACAACUUACCCCUCUCGUUUGUGGACAGCGUGGGAUUCCGACGGUUCAUGGAGGUUGUGGAGCCGAAAUAUGAUGUCCCCUCUCGAACCACAAUGGUGAGGACUGUGAUUCCGGAGGUGCACGACUCCGUUAAAAAACAUGUUAGCAGUUUGUUGUGUAACACUCCGGUCAUUAGCUUCACCACUGAUAUUUGGAGCAGCAGCGUGAGUGCUGUGUCUCUCAUCAGCCAGACAGCGCGUUGGAUAGAUGCUGAUUUCCAACUUCAUAGCAUCAUGCUGCACGCAAAAGAGUUCAGUGGCUCACACACAGGACAGGCGAUCGCAGAAAAGUUUGAGGAGAUGCUCAACACAUGGAAUAUUCCCAAAGAAGCCGUUCACGUUAUGCUAAGAGACAAUGCAAAGAACAUGAUUAAAGGUAUGGAUGAAGCUGAGCUUCCAAGCCUCCCGUGUGUCGUGCACACACUCCAGCUGACAGUGAAUGAAGGCCUGCUGGUUCAAAAGGCUGUUUCAGAUGCCGUAGCCAUAGGACGGAAAAUAGUCGUUCAUUUCCAAAAUUCCCCAUUGGCCUACUCGAAGCUUGAAGACAUCCAAACGGACAUGCACAAGCCUGUAAAAAGACUGGCACAGAACGUACCAACCCGCUGGAAUAGCACGCUGUAUAUGAUGCGCUCUCUCGUUGAACAAAAGCAAGCCAUAGGAGUUUAUGGGACAGAAAACAAGCUCCCCGAGAGCCUUAGUGUGAACCAGUGGAGUUUAUUCGAAAAGGCAAUCAAGCUUUUGGAACCCUUUGAGGAGCUGACCCGGCAGGUGAGCUCCACGGAUUCAUCAGCUGCAGAUGUGAUCCCUGCCAUCACCACGCUUCUUGAGGGUUUUAGAGGAGGAUUGUGAGGAGGACCGUGGGGUCGGAUCGAUGAAGCAUACCUUGCUACAGGUUGCUAGGAGGUGCUUUGCUGAUAUCGAGAGAAAUCCACUGUACAGCUUUGCCUCCAUACUCGAUCCAAGGUAAUAGUUUUUCUUACUAAUUCAAAUGUGAGAAAUUGUUUUAAUUAAAUUACUAUUAGAGUUGCCUAACCUUAAUAUUACUCAAGUAAAAAAUAUUUUGCAUUAACUACUCUCAGUUAAAAGUACAACCACCUGAAUUGUGAUGUGACACCUGAAUCACUUAUGUGGAUGUGUAGACUUUCUCAUUUGUUCUCUUUUCUUCUCUCUUUUGUAGAUACAAGGAUUGUUAUUUCUCAGAUGAAAGCGCAGCAAGGGAGGCCAAAACGAUGCUUGUACAGGAGCUGCAGCAAACAUUUGCUGCAGAACCACAGGCAGAUGGAGAGGAACCACCUGCCCAAAAGCCACGGAGGGAGCAGCCCAGCAGCAGCAGCCGUCUCAACAGAAUGUCUGCUGAAAUAGCAGAGGGCCGUGCAUCAUCCUCACAUUGUACCGGGAGAAGUGCUCCAAUGAUCGCUGCUGCAAUGCAGCUGGAGACAUACCUUGCAGAACACUUACUCGAACGGGAUGCCAAUCCACUCAAGUACUGGGCAGAGGAGAGAGAAAAGUUUUCCUCUUUGGCCAAGUUAGCAAGAAAAUACCUCUCGGCACCAUGCAGCAGCGUCGAGAGUGAACGGCUCUUUAGUUCAGUUGCUCACAUUCUCGAUGACACAAGAAAUAGGCUCUCAGCUGAAAAUACAGAGAUGCUUCUGUUCCUUAAUAAGAACCUGCCACUUACCUUUUCACCCUCAGAUAACAGUUAGACAAUGAAGCAACUUAAAGGUUUAAGCUUUGUUCUAGUUUUGUGCUUCAAUUUUGCACCUUAAAAUAAAACCCAGGAAGAGAAAGUUCAUUUUAUUUCAUUUAAAAACUGAAAACUCAGGGGUUGUUCUAUCUUUGACUUUAGUUCAUAAAAAAGCAUUAAAAUGAGAACAUUUAAAAACUUUAGUUCAUGUAAAGUGUAAAACUCAGAGAAAGCUUUUUGAUCUUGCACUUUAGUUCAUAAAAAACCUUAAAACUCAGAAAGUUGUUUUAUCUUGCACUUUAGUUCAUAAAAAAAACCUUAAAACUCACAGAAAGCUGUUUCAUCUUGCACUUAAGUUCAUUUAAAAAAACAUGACAAUGUGUUCAUUUAAAAAAGUGUAUAACUCAGAGGUGUUUGUUACAUCUUUUACUUCAUUUAAAAGAAACCUUAAAACUCAGAAAUUGAUUUAUCUUGCACUUAAUUUCAUUCAAAAAAGUGUAAAACUCAAAAGAGUUGCUUGUUUACAUCUUGUACUUCAGUUCAUCUUUUAAAAAAAAACCUUAAAACUCAGAGAAAUUGAUUUAUCUUGCACUUAAUUUCAUUUAAAAAAGUGUAAAACUCAAAAGAGUUGUUUUAUAUUUCACUUUUUUUUAUAUAUCUGAAACUGAGACUGCUAUUAUUUUAGUAGUGGCUGUGCUGCCUUUUUUAGAAAUAAAAGUCAUUUUUCAAAAAUGA
Acanthochromis polyacanthus (spiny chromis) is the source of this 5618-nucleotide long non-coding RNA. RefSeq lists it as uncharacterized. The record is from RefSeq and is a predicted model, not a curated record. NCBI's taxonomy places the organism in Eukaryota, Metazoa, Chordata, Actinopteri, Pomacentridae. The transcript has 2 exons.